Molecule: non-coding RNA, 1386 nt
Organism: Myodes glareolus (Bank vole)
Lineage: Eukaryota; Metazoa; Chordata; Mammalia; Rodentia; Cricetidae
Source: RefSeq, a predicted model, not a curated record
UUAUUAACAGAUACUUUCGGUUGAUUUUUCACAUUUCAAGUUUUAAGAGAUUUGUGUAACAGGGUCUCUCAGGUCUUUAUACCUGUAACUAAUUAAUUUUCAUGAAAGUGCUAAGUAUAGGAUUGCCUACCAGAAGAAUAAUAUUAUUUAACACAGGGUGGCCCAUUAUGAAGCAGCCGCCUUUUUCUUUUCUUUCUUUUGGCGUGCCUUUAAAUGGAGCCUGUUUUAAAUGGGCCUUUGCCUAAAAGAACAGAUUUACCAAAUGUCUGGUCUGGCCAGUGAGGUCCUCUGUGGGUGCGGGUUUCCUGUUGCGCUCUGGACUUGUAAAGCUAAAUCGCCAAUUACAUCAAAAACUUCUCCCCUGUGAGUAGGACUUUGGUCUCUAGCUAAACAGCCUCAUCAUUGGACCAGCAGUUGAGUACUGCCAAUACUCCUUCUGAACAGCCUUCUGAGGGGAGAUUUAUGAUGCUCAGAGCAGAGACCAGCAGACAAAUCCCAUGCCCAGUCUGAGAGCGCUGUAGGAUCCUGGAAUUGCCUGGAAGAUUCUCUGAGCCUGAGCAGAGAAGCAGGAAUCGCCGUCUGCGUGGUCCCUGCUUUGUUGUUUUGUAGGUCCCAGGCGCUAGGCUUUCCUACUCACUGCCCAGCUUUAUUAGAAUAGAAUGCUAAUGUGGUUAGUCCUCUGUGUAGAACUUUCCGAUGUAGCUCCAGUUAUUAACUAAGAAAUGGCUCUCCGGCCUCACAAGGGAGGUCACCACAUCUUUCACAUGGCGACGCCCUCCACAGGCUUUAAAGAUCUAGGUAGGAUAAUUGACAAGCUGGGAAACUGAACAGUAUAUGAAUGUGUGACUUACACUCUCAUCCCCUAAGGCAGCUUCGGGGAACACGACUUCCUAGGUACUGUAUCCCAGCGUAGUUCCUAGGUACUGUAUCCCAGCGUAAUUCCUAGGUACUGUAUCCCAAUGUAGUUCCUAGGUACUGUAUCCCAGCGCAGUUCCUAGGUACUGUAUUCCAGCGUAGUUCCUAGGUACUGUAUCCCAGCGUAGUUCCUCAUCUGGAAGUUCUUUUGGUGAAGAGCCUAACACCGGCUAAGGGGAAAUAUUUUUAGACCAAAAAAGAGAAAUCAUUGCCAUCCACUUGUUAAAGAGAGUACUUUAAUUUAGAGGGUAACUUUGGCUUGCUAGUUUUCUCUGGCUCUUGUUAAAUAUUCUAAUAAUAAUUUUUAAAGAAACUAUAGGCUUAUGUAUUGCAUGGGAUCCCAAGAGUUUUUCAGGUCUAGAAUUAAUGAUCUUUGUGUUCAUUAAAAAAGAUCUUGGUGAAGGAUUCUGGCAGUACAAGAUGUGGUUUCUAUUUUUAGUACUUGCUUGCACUGAGUAAGUAAAAGCAGAU